CUUAACACAUGCAAGUCGAACGAUGAAGCCUAGCUUGCUAGGUGGAUUAGUGGCGAACGGGUGAGUAAUACGUGAGUAACCUACCUUUAACUCUGUGAUAAGCCUAGGAAACUGGGUCUAAUACCGGAUACGACCAAUCUCCGCAUGGGGUGUUGGUGGAAAGCGUUAUGUAGUGGUUAUAGAUGGGCUCACGGCCUAUCAGCUUGUUGGUGAGGUAACGGCUCACCAAGGCGACGACGGGUAGCCGGCCUGAGAGGGUGACCGGCCACACUGGGACUGAGACACGGCCCAGACUCCUACGGGAGGCAGCAGUGGGGAAUAUUGCACAAUGGGCGCAAGCCUGAUGCAGCGACGCCGCGUGAGGGAUGACGGCCUUCGGGUUGUAAACCUCUGUUAGCAGGGAAGAAGAGAGAUUGACGGUACCUGCAGAGAAAGCGCCGGCUAACUACGUGCCAGCAGCCGCGGUAAUACGUAGGGCGCGAGCGUUGUCCGGAAUUAUUGGGCGUAAAGAGCUUGUAGGCGGUUUGUCGCGUCUGCUGUGAAAGGCCGGGGCUUAACCCCGUGUAUUGCAGUGGGUACGGGCAGACUAGAGUGCAGUAGGGGAGACUGGAAUUCCUGGUGUAGCGGUGGAAUGCGCAGAUAUCAGGAGGAACACCGAUGGCGAAGGCAGGUCUCUGGGCUGUAACUGACGCUGAGAAGCGAAAGCAUGGGGAGCGAACAGGAUUAGAUACCCUGGUAGUCCAUGCCGUAAGCGUUGGGCACUAGGUGUGGGGGACAUUCCACGUUUUCCGCGCCGUAGCUAACGCAUUAAGUGCCCCGCCUGGGGAGUACNGCCGCAAGGCUAAAACUCAAAGAAAUUGACGGGGGCCCGC
Molecule: ribosomal RNA, 872 nt
Filed under: uncultured bacterium
Lineage: Bacteria
Description: bacterial SSU rRNA
Rfam family: Bacterial small subunit ribosomal RNA
Source: RNAcentral